UUCUACUUCUCUGCUGAGACAUCUACCUUUGACAUUACUGAUUCCUUUUGUUGUUGGCGGUGUGACAACAAAACAAAAAUAGCUACGAUAUUUCUGCCCACAUGAUUUUCCAGAACUUCUCCAUUCCCUAUCAAAAAACCAAACCAAAACAAAAAACAAGGUGGAGUUUAUGUUUACAUCAUCUGAGCCUAGAUGAGCCUUUGUGACUGCUUUGACUAACAGUAUGGCAGAGCCGUAAUAUUUCUGAAGCUAGGGCAUAAAAGGUGACAAAACUUUCUCAUGGUUUUCUCUCUCUAGGAACAUUUGCUUCAGAGCCCUAAGUGAUCGCAUAAAAACCCUGGCUACCAUACUGGAAAGACCUUGUGAAGAGCCCACAUAGAAAUAGAGAUCCCUGAGGAACCCUGGCUGGUGCAGCCCCCCAGUUUUGAAUCUUCCCAUCCCAGGCACCAGACAUGUGAAGGAGGGAGUUUUCAGAUAAUUCUAGUCCUCUCUUCUUACUAUAACUGCAUGAGAGACCUCAAGCAAGAACCACUCAGCUGAGGCCAGUAAACCCCCAAAGCUGUGAGAGGUAUGAAAUGAUUGUUCUUUUAAGCUAAUAGUUUUGGGGUGAUUUGUUAAGCAGCUGUAGAUAACUGGAACACCUGACUAUUGUUCAUUUAUUUGUUAUUUAUCUAUUGACUACCUAGUAUGCCAGAUGCUUUUUUUAUGUGCUAGGAAUGUGGCAGCAACAAAACCGACAAACGUUUCUCAUCUUCUGGAAUUUAAUUAUAGUGAGAACAGACAGGAUAAGAAAACUAUGUAUUAUGUUAGGAGCAAAAGCAGGGUGGGGGGAUAUAAAAUGUCAUGGAGGAAAGAUUGUAAUUUUAGAUUGGGUAACCAGAAAGGACUUCACUGAGAUGGUAACUUAACAAAGACUUCAAAGUGAGGGAGCUAACCUCACAUAGACCCAGGAGUAUUCUAGGCAGAUGGAGUGAGUGCAAAGAAUUUGAGGUAGAAGCUAGCCUGCGUGUUCAAGAAACAGAAAAAGACUGGAGUGUCUGGAAUAAAGUGUGUGAAGGAGAGCUGUAGAUGAUGAGGUCAAAGGUAAUAGGUGGCUAGAUCAUGUAAGGCCUUGUGGAUCCUAGCAAGGACUUGGGCUUUUAUUGUGAAGAAUAUGGGAAGUGCUUGGAAAGACAUCCACAGUGUUGCUUGCUGGUAAUACCAGCCGCAGUCAUCUUUUUUAUCCCCAUGAGAUCAUCUGGUCUCAGAGGCCCAACCAGCUUGUUGGGCCACCUGUUAAGCCUCCAUUGUGAAAAAUCCUCUCAGGGUAGUCGGAAUUAUCUAAUCCAGGCUCUCUAUCCUAUUCCUUACUAUUUUCCUUUGGUCACCUUGCUUGAUGAUCAUCUACUUGUAGUGACUAAUGAAGAGAGAGAAGUAAUCAUUUAUGUAAGUGACAUUUCAUAGCAUUUCUUAUACUGGUUAGAGUAAUUUUACAUAUAAAUAUAUAGUAUAUAUAUAGUAUAUCGUAUUUAUACUCUUACUACAACUCUGAUAUGUAGUAGGACCAAUUGGCCAUGAAACUUAAAAUAGAACAAGAUGAAGCAUGUUGUUCUGUUCUUAACUUUUUCAUUUUAUGUAUGAAGUAAAUAAUAUCUUACAUUCAUGGUAUACAGUUCACGAUCAUGUACAUAAUUUAAUCAUCUCAGCUAUCCUCAGAUGUGAGUGGUGGUAUUUCCAUUUUACAGAUAAAGAAACAGGUCCAGAAGGUUAAGUAACUAAAAGUUACAUGGAGAGCAAGGAUCUUAAAUGUGAGGAAUUAGGGCAUAAACCACAAGUCUGUUGCUUCUAAACCCAGUGCUAUUUCUGUUUCAUCACAGAAACUCAAUAUAAUAUAAGAAUGGCACUUAAGCCAAUUAUGGGGGACAAUUGAGUCAUUUUCUUUCCUGCCUCACGGCACUGGUACAUAACUACCACUGUUCCAUUCCUUGCUAGGGGGAAAAUAGCUAAUGGGAGUCAGGAAUAAUUUGGACGUUUUCCAGCAUAUUCCAGAGAAUGUAUAAAUUUAGUGAUAUUACCAUGAAUUCUCUUCUCAAAUCAAACCAGGGCUCGAUAAUAUGUGGAGGAAAUUAAAAAAGAACAAAGUGCUUCAUCUUGAAGUAACUGUCUAAACUCAGGGCAGCUGAAGUGUGAAUGGCCAAUCUUCAUUUAAUGCUGGCUGAAGAAUGCUUCAUUAGAAAAAUUCAGUCUUGAGAGAGAAAGGGUGAUCCAUCCGGCUGUUGCAAGAGCCCAAGUUGUCCGCAAAGCCCAAGGCCCACAAAGAAUCAUCCACUGUUGCAGAGAGAAUUGCUAGGAUGAAAGGUUUCUUUUUCCAUGAUGAAGUCUCCAGCAAUAAAAACUGAAGACUCUCCUGCUUCAUGACGUCUGUGAAUGAUUUCAGAGCUAUCUUUGAGAACUUAUUCGAAGGAUCAGAAGUGUUUGAUAGCCUACCAAAUGCUAAAACUCAGAGCAAAUACAGCAGGAAGCAGAAGCAAAACUGUCCUUCCAACACCUGUGUGUCAAGUGGGCAGUUGAAUAUAGGAGUGCAUAGCUCAGAGGUGCAGCCUGGCAGAGGAAGAGGAGCCAGCAGGUGAGUUUCAGAAAGAGGGUCACUGAGGCAAGAGGGAAAACCAAAGGAAUGUGGUAUUCCCAGAGCGGAAGAUGGGCAGUUUUCAUUGAGGACUGGUUAGAGGUUAAGGUGAAAUACAAAACACAGAGCAGAGAGAUCAUGGGUGAUUUUAAGAGGGAAGUUUCCCUGGAGUCCUAUGGGUAGAAGUAAAGCUGGAAUAAACCAUGAGAAGGAAAAAAGCCCAGGGUUUUUGUUUGUUUGUUUUACUGUGUGUGAAAGAGAAAUUGAGGAGCUGGACGGGAAUAUUGGAUGAGGGAAUUGGGGUUUUGUUUGUCUGUUUUUACCAUGGGACAUUCUUUAGCAUGUUUGUGCAUUGAUGGGGAUGAUCCAAAAACAAGCACGAAUUGAAAAUGCAACAAAAAGAAGGGAACCCUUGAGAAGGUGCUGGGGUUAGGGUUCCAGAGCUCCAGAGGGUAGAAGGGCUUUUGUUGGAGAAGCUCUGCUUCCUCCGUUGAAACAAGAGAAAUGGAGAAGAUGGAUAUAGAUUCACAGAUGAGGUGGGGAAGAGGACACCUAAAUUCUUAUCUGAUGGUUUCUAUUUUUUAGUGAUAAAGAACAUUUUAAAAAUCAUGUUUAAUUCAUAUUUGAGGAAGGUUUGAGAAGACAAACGGUAGAUGAUAUGAAAUAAUCUUCAUGAUAUUGGAAAAGCUAAUUUACCAGGCAAACAUAAGAGGAGUGUUGAGUGUUUUAUUCGGGUUUUUGAUCAUGAAUUUAAAGUGAAACUGGUCACCUAUAUUUUGUGUGUGUGUUUAUCCUCCAGUAAUAUUCUAGUUUUAAAAUGCAAGUGUGGAUAAACUGGACUCCAUCAGGCAUGUUUUGUUCCAAGCAAGUGUUGACAGACGAGAGAGGUAUAAAGGAGGAGAGGAAAUUUUCAAGGAGGUGAUUAUAAAUUAUAGACUAUGUGAUCUAAAUGAAUAAGAAAGAAAAUAAAAAGAGGGGACUGACUGGUGGGUAAUGAGAACAUGGCUGAUGGUUUGGGGAUGUCAGUGAGGUUAAAAAAUCAUGAGGAGGUGUGAGUUAGAGAUCGGGUUUUCAGAAGCAGAUUUGGAGGUGGUGCUCAAUGCAGUAAUAACCAGGUAGUGUGUGGUAAUAAGACUAGAUCGGCUGUAGUAAAGUGGAGGAAAAAGCAACUGGAGAUGAGAAGGUCAAGGAGCUGAAAAUCCAGAGUUUGGAUGUCCUCUCAUCUUGCACACAUCUCAACGUUUUGUAGUUGUUGGUCUGUCUUUCCAACAAGUAUGUUACUCUCUGAAGGAAGGGACGAUGUUUGUCUUGUCAGUACUUCCUCCCUAAUGCCCAGCAUGGUACCUGACCCAUAAAAUACUCAAUAAAUAUUUACUGAAUGAACAAAUAAGUCUAUUAUUUUAAAAAAUUCUAAAAGUUAUUCCUGAAUUGAGAGGUGCAUCCUGGGACACCACUGUCUCGACUCCUCAUGGACCACUUUUUGUGAGCGGCCUUGUGGGUAAUGACAUUUACUGCUGCUGUGGAUGCUGUGAGAAGCACUCCUGUUUAAUUCUCCAUGGUAUUUAAUAUAGGGGCUUGCUGAGGAAGUAAUUCACUCCCUUACACAUUAUCCCCUCCAUUAAGACCCACAAGGGAAAUUUUUUCUAAGAUUUCAUUGCUAGGAAGACCUGUGACUCUCCUGAGUGAACAGUUUGUGAGUCUCAUAAGCAAAUAUGUUUUCCUUUUUGCUCUGCCCAUUACAGCCAGAUGUGUGGCUGAGGCUUGACUUUAGCAAGUACGCAGAAAAAUACGGUAUCUGUUUGUUAUGAAUUAUUUUACCCUUUGCUUUAUCUGAUUAGCUUUUCCUGAUUUCCUCAUCUUGGUGAUUUCUUCUCGUGUUUUUGUUUCUAUUCUGGAAUCUUUCUUGAAUAUUUAAUGCUAGAGUGUUUUCCCAAGGUUCAGCCAGAUGAAGUUUUCUCUUGACCACUUCAACUGGUGCAAACUUCUGGUGCUCAUGUAGAAAGCAAGCCUGUUAUAAACUAUCAUAGUGAAGAUUCAGAUUAGGUCCAUUUAUAAACAAUACGCAUUUCUGAGGCUUUAUUGAGCUAAUUUGAGUUAAGCUUAGAAUUUCUACAAUAUAUAAUAUUCAACGUGUCAUCUGUCUUGGACAAUACCAGGUACAAAAUUGUUUACGAAAAAGUAAACACAUUUCUGAAGAUUUAUCAGUUAAAUCAAAGGUUCCUAUCUGAGCCUUUAUUAAUUUAAUUAAGGAAUUUUAUGAAUUUUUGACAUAUAUUUGCUUAAUCUAAUAAUUUAAGAAGUGUAAAAAAGAACUAAAUCGCAUCUAAAGACUCUGGGAGCCUGAUAAGAAAGGCAAAUGUGGUAGUAAAGCAGAGAUCAAGAUGACACAUAUGGACAGAGGCCACUGCGGGAUGAGAAGAAUAAAUGGAAAUGAGCAGACGAGUGAAACUCUAUAGAACUAACCACAUGGGAACACUGAACACAAAGAUCUACACACUGUAAAGGGAAUGAAAGGGAAAAACAGGAAACAGGUUACAGCUGUGAGCUUUGCAGUACACCAUAGUGGAGAGUCAUUAAAUACAUUAAGCCCAUUAAAUACUGUCAUUGUGGGAAACUGUAUUCCAGAACACUCGUUGACACCUAUUGUAUUUUAUAAGAGCUGCUUUCCUCAGAUGGAGAUGCGAAGCUGGCAGGACAGAGAAUGAGCCCAGCUCAGCAAGGGUGCUCACACAGUGGGGCAAGAGACCAAUUUGUUGGGGACAGCUGAAUGCUUCUUUCUCUAAAGUUUGAUCACUAGUCUCAUUAAGUGUUGUGUAUGAGAAGAAUGAGAUUGUUAAUUGUGUUUGCCGUGAAAUACAUGAGUAAGCAAGUAAAACACAUUAAAAAUGUAUUGACAACUGUAAAAAUAUUCCAGAAUAAUGUAACUUAUGUUGGUACAGCUAGUUUUACAUAUUUUUGUAAACUACCUAAAAUCCUUUUUUUGGGAGAAGCUGGGUUAUUCAUUAAAGAAUAUAAAACAGGACUACAUGAAGUCAUAUUGCCACUACUGAUUUUAAAAAAUGACUCUAGGGAUGGAAUGUUUAUUAUUAGUGUUAUUAAAACUUAGAGUUAUCAUACACUGUGAGCUUCUAAUAUGCUAAGCGAUAUGUUAAACAAUUUUUUUUCUUUUUUUUUUUUUUGCGGUACGCGGGCCUCUCCCUGCUGUGGCCUCUCCCGUUGCG
Molecule: long non-coding RNA, 5826 nt
Organism: Aethalodelphis obliquidens (Pacific white-sided dolphin)
Lineage: Eukaryota; Metazoa; Chordata; Mammalia; Artiodactyla; Delphinidae
Exons: 3
Source: RefSeq, a predicted model, not a curated record